CAUGCAGUCGAGGGGUAUUUAUCUUCGGAUAGAGAGACCGGCGCACGGGUGCGUAACGCGUAUGCAAUCUACCUUUUACAGAGGGAUAGCCCAGAGAAAUUUGGAUUAAUACCUCAUAGUAUGUGAGAAUGGCAUCAUUUUCACAUUAAAGUCACAACGGUAAAAGAUGAGCAUGCGUCCCAUUAGCUAGUUGGUAAGGUAACGGCUUACCAAGGCUACGAUGGGUAGGGGUCCUGAGAGGGAGAUCCCCCACACUGGUACUGAGACACGGACCAGACUCCUACGGGAGGCAGCAGUGAGGAAUAUUGGACAAUGGGCGCAAGCCUGAUCCAGCCAUGCCGCGUGCAGGAUGACGGUCCUAUGGAUUGUAAACUGCUUUUGCACAGGAAGAAACAACGCUACGUGUAGCGUCUUGACGGUACUGUGAGAAUAAGGAUCGGCUAACUCCGUGCCAGCAGCCGCGGUAAUACGGAGGAUCCAAGCGUUAUCCGGAAUCAUUGGGUUUAAAGGGUCCGUAGGCGGUUUAGUAAGUCAGUGGUGAAAGCCCAUCGCUCAACGGUGGAACGGCCAUUGAUACUGCUAGACUUGAAUUAUUAGGAAGUAACUAGAAUAUGUAGUGUAGCGGUGAAAUGCUUAGAGAUUACAUGGAAUACCAAUUGCGAAGGCAGGUUACUACUAAUGGAUUGACGCUGAUGGACGAAAGCGUGGGUAGCGAACAGGAUUAGAUACCCUGGUAGUCCACGCCGUAAACGAUGGAUACUAGCUGUUGGGAGCGAUCUCAGUGGCUAAGCGAAAGUGAUAAGUAUCCCACCUGGGGAGUACGUUCGCAAGAAUGAAACUCAAAGGAAUUGACGGGGGCCCGCACAAGCGGUGGAGCAUGUGGUUUAAUUCGAUGAUACGCGAGGAACCUUACCAAGGCUUAAAUGUAGAUUGACCG
RNAcentral lists this ribosomal RNA (937 nucleotides) under uncultured bacterium. Its description in RNAcentral is "bacterial SSU rRNA". It matches the Rfam family "Bacterial small subunit ribosomal RNA", at positions 54 to 998 of the family's 1533-position model. The record is from RNAcentral.